RNAcentral lists this unclassified non-coding RNA (374 nucleotides) under soil metagenome. Its description in RNAcentral is "partial contains internal transcribed spacer 2 and large subunit ribosomal RNA". The stretch from base 1 to 120 matches the Rfam family "5.8S ribosomal RNA", at positions 35 to 154 of the family's 154-position model. The record is from RNAcentral.
GAUGAAGAACGCAGCAAAAUGCGAUAAUUAAUGUGAAUUGCAGAAUUCCGUGAAUCAUCGAGUCUUUGAAUGCACAUUGCGCCUCAUGGCAUUCCGUGAGGCAUGCCCAUCUCAGCGUUAGAAAAUAUUCUCAAAUUUUAGUUUUGUGCUAAAAUUUGGAUCAUGUCAAAGAAGCUAUUACUAUUAUUGUGAUCGCUCUUUGGAAAUUGAUAGGUCUUUGAGUUGCUACUCAUAGAAUGUGAUGAAUCUUUCUUCGUUCUAUUGUAAUUCACUCUGGUAGUCUUAAAACUUGUAUGCCUGUGGCAUAUCUUGUAAUUUGACCUGAGAUUGGGUAGGGAUACCCGCUGAACUUAAGCAUAUCAAUAAGCGGAGGA